UACGUAGGGACCAAGCGUUGUUCGGAUUCAUUGGGCGUAAAGGGUGCGUAGGCGGCGCGGUAAGUCGGGUGUGAAAUCUCGGGGCUUAACUCCGAAACUGCAUUCGAUACUACCGUGCUUGAGGACUGGAGAGGAGACUGGAAUUUACGGUGUAGCGGUGAAAUGCGUAGAUAUCGUAAGGAAGACCAGUGGCGAAGGCGGGUCUCUGGACAGUUCCUGACGCUGAGGCACGAAGGCCAGGGGAGCAAACGGG
This 253-nucleotide ribosomal RNA is filed under the name uncultured bacterium. RNAcentral describes it as "partial 16S ribosomal RNA". It matches the Rfam family "Bacterial small subunit ribosomal RNA", at positions 524 to 776 of the family's 1533-position model. The record is from RNAcentral.